RNAcentral lists this small RNA (576 nucleotides) under Pongo abelii (Sumatran orangutan). RNAcentral describes it as "processed transcript". The record is from RNAcentral. Lineage: Eukaryota; Metazoa; Chordata; Mammalia; Primates; Hominidae.
GCUACAGCAGAGAAUCGGACAAGGAGGGAAGAAAGAGAUUGGUGAGGGGGAGAGAGAGAGAAAGAGAGAGAGAGACACAAAGGAAGUGAGUGCAAGAGGAGCCGGCUUAGCAUCUAAACUAUCUCUGGUGAGUGUUCCCCCAGCCUGGCGUAGGGCAUGCCCCAGUUCACUUUCGCCUGCUUCUGUGGUCUCCACGGCUUCUGCAAAAUGAAGAGGAAGAAGGAGGAAGUUCACAGAGAGCGGGAGACGGCGGUGUGAUCAGAACCAGGGCCCCUCCAUCAAGCCCCCAGCAGGUCCCAGGCCUGAUGGUGCCCGCUUCUGGCUGGGGCUUGGAGCAGGAAGCCAUGUGUGUAUCUUUAGUCUUGAUUUAGCCAGUGCUCUUCUCAGCCUGACUCUCACCCGAGGGCAUCAGCCUCCUGUGUGCCUCUCAUCCUCCUCAUGCCCACACCCAUUAGCUUCCAAUUCUCAGCCCUCCUUGGAGAGAGGCCCCAGCCACACAAGGGGGAACCCCAGGACCUGCCGCAUGCCUUCCAGAGACUGAGAAGCCCCAGGGAGGCCAAGGAGCGAAACUUCUUU